RNAcentral lists this long non-coding RNA (317 nucleotides) under Ananas comosus (pineapple). RNAcentral's name for it is "long non-coding RNA (ACOM_LNC044417)". The record is from RNAcentral. Lineage: Eukaryota; Viridiplantae; Streptophyta; Magnoliopsida; Poales; Bromeliaceae.
ACUCUCUCCUUCCCUCAUUUCUCACCCAAACACACACCCUCUCUCUCUCUCUCUCUCUCUCUCUCUAAACUCGCUCUCCCUCUCUCUUGAAGUGAAGAAGGAGAAGAAGGAAAGGAAGGAGAAAAAGAAGGUGAAGAAGGUGAAGAAGGAGAAGCAAGCUAGAGAAGGCCUUGGUCUUCUUCUUCUUCCUCUCCUCACCAUUAGAGCAAGCUAAGAGGUAAGCUUCUAAGCCCUACAAUGGUAGAAACCUAGGGUUUGGAUUUCUUACUUUAGAAAUGGUUUGAUUAGAACUCUAGCAUGCUAAUAGAGGUUUAAAG